AACGAACGCUGGCGGCAGGCUUAACACAUGCAAGUCGAGCGCCUCGCAAGAGGAGCGGCAGACGGGUGAGUAACGCGUGGGAAUCUACCCAUCCUUACGGAACAACUCCGGGAAACUGGAGCUAAUACCGUAUACGCCCUUUGGGGGAAAGAUUUAUCGAGGAUGGAUGAGCCCGCGUUGGAUUAGCUAGUUGGUGGGGUAAAGGCCUACCAA
RNAcentral lists this ribosomal RNA (213 nucleotides) under uncultured bacterium. RNAcentral's name for it is "partial 16S ribosomal RNA". It matches the Rfam family "Bacterial small subunit ribosomal RNA", at positions 29 to 271 of the family's 1533-position model. The record is from RNAcentral.